Molecule: long non-coding RNA, 533 nt
Filed under: Carica papaya (papaya)
Lineage: Eukaryota; Viridiplantae; Streptophyta; Magnoliopsida; Brassicales; Caricaceae
Description: long non-coding RNA (CPAP_LNC009713)
Source: RNAcentral
CCGAAGCUUACUGGCGGCGGCGCUCUCGGGUGCGGCGGCUCUCCAGUGAGGUUCGUGUUUUGGUGAUUCGGCUCCGAUCAACCUGUAGAGAAAAGAAUGGUGAUCACGGUGAUAUAAAAAUUGCAUCAAACGGAGGCCGGGAAGGGCCUCAUCGGAGGCAAAAACCGAGGAGGGGCGCGGCGGCGCCGCUGGGUUUUGGCAGUGUUUUUCGGUCGUUUGGCCGGGAUUUUAGCUCCGAUUUGGCCACAGGAGAAAUCAGCAUGGAAAAACGAGUCGGGAGUAUGAAAUUUACCUCGAUCAGCGGUCGAAAAUCUCCUCGGUGCGGCGGCGGGUGGCGGCGGCGGGUGGCGGCGGCCGGCGUCUGGUUCGUCUUCUCUGGCGAGGGCAGGCAGCUAGAAUUUUUUGUGGUCAGGUGUGGGGGUUCUAUUUAUACCCUUUUGCCUUUUGAUCUCAGCCGUCCAUUUUGAUUUAAUCUGGGUCGUCUGUUUUUGAUUGAAUCUAGGCCGUCCGUGCGAUUGCAUCUGGGCUGUCCG